This 253-nucleotide ribosomal RNA is filed under the name uncultured Lachnospiraceae bacterium. Its description in RNAcentral is "partial 16S ribosomal RNA". It matches the Rfam family "Bacterial small subunit ribosomal RNA", at positions 524 to 776 of the family's 1533-position model. The record is from RNAcentral. Lineage: Bacteria; Bacillati; Bacillota; Clostridia; Lachnospirales; Lachnospiraceae.
UACGUAGGUGGCAAGCGUUAUCCGGAUUUACUGGGUGUAAAGGGAGCGUAGACGGCGGUGCAAGCCAGAUGUGAAAGCCCGGGGCUCAACCCCGGGACUGCUUUUGAAACUGUGUGACUGGAGUGCAGGAGAGGUAAGCGGAAUUCCUGGUGUAGCGGUGAAAUGCGUAGAUAUCAGGAGGAACACCAGUGGCGAAGGCGGCCUGCUGGACCGCGACUGACGUUGAGGCUCGAAAGCGUGGGGAGCGAACAGG